ACAACCGGUCUCCUAGGCCGCAGCAUAGCAACCGAACAUGGCGGCUGCGCAAGCGCGACCAGUCAGCUGCCAGGAGCAGCGGCAAAGGCAACAGGAGGCGGUCUCGCGAGAGAAGCAUUAUCAUCAGAUUGGAAAAUCUUGAUUAAUCUCCACGGCUUUGUACCAUGUUACGUAGAACCUGAUACAGCAUUAUCAGCUGUUUGUGAUUGCACUGGGAACUUCCUGUGUGAAGGUGAAGGUCGAGAUGGCCUAGAUGCUAUGGUGGCCCUGGCCUGAGGAAACUCUGCACAAAGGGUCAGAGUUACAUCAGUUGGGACCUUGAGCUCAGGCACCAGCUCCCAGGGAUAGACAAUUCUGAGCAUAACAAGAUAACCCUAAUGUCUCACCAGUCCUGCAUCCUUCAGAUUGUCUGCUUUCCCGAAACUUUCCCCAAACAACCUUUUGAUGUUAAAACCUAUAAAAUAAACACGCUGAACUAGCUCUGGGUCAGUCG
Molecule: RNA transcript, 493 nt
Organism: Ictidomys tridecemlineatus (thirteen-lined ground squirrel)
Lineage: Eukaryota; Metazoa; Chordata; Mammalia; Rodentia; Sciuridae
Source: RefSeq, a predicted model, not a curated record